Small nucleolar RNA from Callithrix jacchus (white-tufted-ear marmoset), 99 nucleotides. The record is from Ensembl. Lineage: Eukaryota; Metazoa; Chordata; Mammalia; Primates; Cebidae.
AUCCUUUUGUAGUUCUUAAACAUAAUGACUGGGUGUUCAUGCACAUGUGAGUGUGCCACCCUCAAACCUUUGUUACAUUGGCACACCAUCCAUUUGACA